Non-coding RNA from Paramuricea clavata, 338 nucleotides. Lineage: Eukaryota; Metazoa; Cnidaria; Anthozoa; Malacalcyonacea; Plexauridae. The record is from the annotation of a GenBank genome assembly.
AAUGAUACAAGCUACGACUCAGCAAUUUGGACUGCAAAAGGAGAUGACCAGACUAACUUUAAUUCACAGUUCUGGAGUGCCAAUGUUACAGAUGUAUGCUUGACCUCGGAUGCUUUUAGUAUUCAAUUAUCCGUUAAUAAUGUCCAGGCUCCAUCACUUCGCAGUUUAUUUUUUCAAAAGAAUACAUUAAAUACAUCCAAUAACCUGUGGACUGAUGCUUUGGAGGAUGGUAUCGCAGAUCCAACUUUCGAGGAAAAUUGUUAUGAAACUGGUUUCAACGUUGGCGAUCCGAAUUAUGUUCAGGCUCGCAUAGGAAUUGUCAACCUUAACAAUCCAGG